Macaca mulatta (Rhesus monkey) is the source of this 286-nucleotide non-coding RNA. Lineage: Eukaryota; Metazoa; Chordata; Mammalia; Primates; Cercopithecidae. The record is from RefSeq and is a predicted model, not a curated record.
UAAAACAAGGAGAAAACGCCAGUUGAUUUCUAUUUUAAAGCCAGCAGGAAGCUCUGCUCAUCUCUCAACCAGGCUCAGAGCAACUCCAUUGCAACAAAGCUUCCAUGAUCAUCUUAGCUGGAAGAUGGGGCAGAAAAAUCUCAAUGCCACCAGGACAAGAACAGAUUCACAGGCUGUUUCGAAAUAGGAGUACACAGCUGAGCACAAGCCUUCUAAUGAAGUAAUGGACCUUGACAAAGAUCAUCAGCCCUGAUGCUAUCACAAAGAGACCAACCAGGUAAUAUAA